UCUUAUUCAACGCCAAUCGCAACUUAUUUUGUGUGACAAAAGCCCUCUCCCAGAUCUCUCCCACAUUCACAAAAGGUCUCCUCUCUUUUUUCUUACAUGGAAGGUGGUUUGGAUCAAAUCUAAAAGGAAUAAGUUUGGAUUUCGAAUUCUAUGAGAUAGAGUUUUAGAAAUCCAAAACUCUUUCAAUUUUGCACCGAAUUUAUCCAAAUUUUUUUUAGAAUUUUCGUGGCUUUUAGGGUAUACAUUAUGCACCCUUUUCUUAUGAUCCAUGCACGAAAAUAUGGAGGAGGUGCUCAAGAGUUGGGCGUCCCUUAACUUGCCAUGUUUGGAUAAGCCUUGACUAGGUGUUUGACCUAGACAAGGACUCUAUCAUAUCUCUCUAUAUAAGAUGAGUUUCUUUGUGAAAUUUUAGGGGGAGAUAGAUAUUUGAGAGUCCUUUCU
This 441-nucleotide long non-coding RNA is filed under the name Elaeis guineensis (African oil palm). RNAcentral describes it as "long non-coding RNA (EGUI_LNC073912)". The record is from RNAcentral. Lineage: Eukaryota; Viridiplantae; Streptophyta; Magnoliopsida; Arecales; Arecaceae.